This is a non-coding RNA of Trichonephila clavipes, 73 nucleotides long. NCBI's taxonomy places the organism in Eukaryota, Metazoa, Arthropoda, Arachnida, Araneae, Nephilidae. The record is from the annotation of a GenBank genome assembly.
GUCCCUGUAGCGCAAUAAACAGCGCGUUGGACUUUUAGUCGAAAGGUCGUGGAUUUGAACCCCAUUUGGGAUG